AUACGAGGGGUGCAAGCGUUAAUCGGAAUUACUGGGCGUAAAGCGUUCGUAGGCGGUUUGUUAAGCAAGAUGUGAAAGCCCUGGGCUCAACCUGGGAACUGCAUUUUGAACUGGCAAGCUAGAAUACUGUAGAGGGUGGUGGAAUUACCAGUGUAGCGGUGAAAUGCGUAGAGAUUGGAAGGAACAUCAGUGGCGAAGGCGGCCACCUGGACAGAUAUUGACGCUGAGGAACGAAAGCGUGGGGAGCGAACAGGAUUAGAAACCCGAGUAGUCC
RNAcentral lists this ribosomal RNA (274 nucleotides) under uncultured bacterium. Its description in RNAcentral is "partial 16S ribosomal RNA". It matches the Rfam family "Bacterial small subunit ribosomal RNA", at positions 523 to 796 of the family's 1533-position model. The record is from RNAcentral.